This 571-nucleotide ribosomal RNA is filed under the name uncultured bacterium. RNAcentral describes it as "bacterial SSU rRNA". It matches the Rfam family "Bacterial small subunit ribosomal RNA", at positions 9 to 578 of the family's 1533-position model. The record is from RNAcentral.
GAGUUUGAUCAUGGCUCAGGAUGAACGCUAGCGGCAGGCUUAAUACAUGCAAGUCGAACGGUAAGGUCUCUUCGGAGAUACACGAGUGGCGCACGGGUGCGUAACGCGUAUGCAACCUACCUUUAACUGGGAAAUAGCCCCGAGAAAUCGGGAUUAAUGUCCCAUACUAUUCUGAGAAUGCAUAUUCUUAGAAUGAAAGCUCCGGCGGUUAUUGAUGGGCAUGCGUGACAUUAGCUAGUUGGUGAGGUAACGGCUCACCAAGGCUACGAUGUCUAGGGGUCCUGAGAGGGUUAACCCCCACACUGGUACUGAGACACGGACCAGACUCCUACGGGAGGCAGCAGUAAGGAAUAUUGGGCAAUGGACGCAAGUCUGACCCAGCCAUGCCGCGUGAAGGAUGAAUGUCCUAUGGAUUGUAAACUUCUUUUAUGCAGGAAAAACAUCCCGGUCGUGAAUCGGGACUGAUGGUACUGUAUGAAUAAGCAUCGGCUAACUCCGUGCCAGCAGCCGCGGUAAUACGGAGGAUGCAAGCGUUAUCCGGAUUCAUUGGGUUUAAAGGGUGCGCAGGCGG